RNAcentral lists this ribosomal RNA (447 nucleotides) under uncultured bacterium. Its description in RNAcentral is "bacterial SSU rRNA". It matches the Rfam family "Bacterial small subunit ribosomal RNA", at positions 355 to 825 of the family's 1533-position model. The record is from RNAcentral.
UAAGGAAUAUUGGACAAUGGGGGCAACCCUGAUCCAGCCAUGCCGCGUGAGUGAUGAAGGCCUUCGGGUUGUAAAGCUCUUUUAGAUGUGACGAUGAUGACGGUAGCAUCAGAAAAAGCUCCGGCUAACUUCGUGCCAGCAGCCGCGGUAAUACGAAGGGAGCGAGCGUUGUUCGGAAUCACUGGGCUUAAAGCGUACGUAGGCAGAUAUACAAGUCAGGAGUGAAAUCCCAGGGCUUAACCCUGGAAUUGCUUUUGAAACUGUAAAUCUGGAAUCCGGUAGAGGUUGGCGGAACUCCGAGUGUAGAGGUGAAAUUCGCAGAUAUUCGGAAGAACACCAGUGGCGAAGGCGGCCAACUGGACCGGUAUUGACGCUGAGGUACGAAAGCGUGGGUAGCAAACAGGAUUAGAUACCCAUGUAGUCCCUGAGCGGGCUGGCAAGGCGCAU